Molecule: ribosomal RNA, 137 nt
Filed under: uncultured eukaryote
Lineage: Eukaryota
Description: partial 18S ribosomal RNA
Rfam family: Eukaryotic small subunit ribosomal RNA
Source: RNAcentral
UGGUGGGGUGACUUGUCUGCUUAAUUGCGAUAUCGAACGAGACCUUAACCUGCUAAAUAGCCCGCAUUGCUCCGGCAGUGCGCUGGCUUCUUAGAGGGACUUUCGGCUCAAGCCGAAGGAAGUUUGAGGCAAUAACA